RNAcentral lists this ribosomal RNA (377 nucleotides) under uncultured cyanobacterium. RNAcentral describes it as "bacterial SSU rRNA". It matches the Rfam family "Bacterial small subunit ribosomal RNA", at positions 376 to 770 of the family's 1533-position model. Lineage: Bacteria; Bacillati; Cyanobacteriota. The record is from RNAcentral.
CGCAAGCCUGACGGAGCAAGACCGCGUGCGGGAUGACGGCCUAAUGGUUGUAAACCGCUUUUCUCUGGGAAGAUGAUGACGGUACCAGAGGAAUCAGCCUCGGCUAACUCCGUGCCAGCAGCCGCGGUAAUACGGAGGAGGCGAGCGUUAUCCGGAAUUAUUGGGCGUAAAGCGUCCGUAGGUGGUUAUUCAAGUCUGCUGUCAAAGCAUGGGGCUUAACUCCAUAGAGGCAGUGGAAACUGGAUGACUUGAGUGCGGUAGGGGUCGAGGGAAUUCCCAGUGUAGCGGUGAAAUGCGUAGAUAUUGGGAAGAACACCAGUGGCGAAAGCGCUCGACUGGGCCUGCACUGACACUGAGGGACGAAAGCUAGGGGAGCG